AUUGAACGCUGGCGGCAUGCUUUACACAUGCAAGUCGAACGGCGGCACGGGCUUCGGCCUGUUGGCGAGUGGCGAACGGGUUAGUAAUAUAUCGUAACGUACCCAGUAUUGGGGGAUAACGUAGCGAAAGUUACGCUAAUACCGCAUACGAUCUAUGUAUGAAAGCAGGUUACCGCAAUGCCUUGUGCUCCUGGAGCAGCCGAUAUCUGAUUAGCUAGUUGGUGAGGUAAAGGCUCACCAAGGCGACGAUCAGUAGCUGGUCUGAGAGGACGACCAGCCACACUGGACCUGAGACACGGUCCAGACUCCUACGGGAGGCAGCAGUGGGGAAUUUUGGACAAUGGGAGCAAGCCUGAUCCAGCAAUGCCGCGUGAGUGAAGAAGGCCUUCGGGUUGUAAAGCUCUUUUGUCAGGGAAGAAACGGUAGAGGCUAAUAUCCUUUGCUAAUGACGGUACCUGAAGAAUAAGCACCGGCUAACUACGUG
RNAcentral lists this ribosomal RNA (484 nucleotides) under uncultured bacterium. RNAcentral describes it as "partial 16S ribosomal RNA". It matches the Rfam family "Bacterial small subunit ribosomal RNA", at positions 30 to 507 of the family's 1533-position model. The record is from RNAcentral.